This 328-nucleotide small RNA is filed under the name Pan troglodytes (chimpanzee). RNAcentral's name for it is "processed transcript". Lineage: Eukaryota; Metazoa; Chordata; Mammalia; Primates; Hominidae. The record is from RNAcentral.
GGACUGAACUCUGUCCUUCUAUGGGUCAGCUACUUGGCUUUCUUCCAGCCCCUCUUCCAAAGCCUCACACAUCCGGGAGCUGAAUUGUGGCUCUCUGGUUGUCCUUUCCAGAACACUUCCACCUGCACCCGGGAACGCUGCUGCACCUGAGAGGCUGGAGGCUCUGAAAUACCAACGGAUAAAGAAGCCCAAAAAGUCAUCCAAGGGCUCUUCGAAGUCAAAGAAACGAUCCGACGAUUCUGCCUCCCAGACUCAGCAGCUUCCCAACUCUCAGGUUCUGUGGCCCGAUGAAGCUGUCUGCCUCCGAAAGAAGAAGAGACAUUCUCGU